GCCGGCGUGGUGGAAUGGCAGACACGGUCCGCUUAAAACGGGCUGCCCUCGGGCAUGCGGGUUCGAACCCCGCCGCCGGCA
This 81-nucleotide transfer RNA is filed under the name Actinomycetota bacterium. RNAcentral describes it as "Actinobacteria bacterium tRNA-Leu". It matches the Rfam family "tRNA". From Rfam's summary of the family: Transfer RNA (tRNA) molecules are approximately 80 nucleotides in length. The record is from RNAcentral. Lineage: Bacteria; Bacillati; Actinomycetota.